UCCCUGGUGGUCUAAUGGUUAAGGAUCUGGCAUUAUCACUGCUGUGGUACAGGUUCGAUCUCUGGCUUGGGAA
This 73-nucleotide transfer RNA is filed under the name Sus scrofa (pig). It matches the Rfam family "tRNA". Rfam says of the family: Transfer RNA (tRNA) molecules are approximately 80 nucleotides in length. Their secondary structure includes four short double-helical elements and three loops (D, anti-codon, and T loops). Further hydrogen bonds mediate the characteristic L-shaped molecular structure. tRNAs have two regions of fundamental functional importance: the anti-codon, which is responsible for specific mRNA codon recognition, and the 3' end, to which the tRNAs corresponding amino acid is attached (by aminoacyl-tRNA synthetases). tRNAs cope with the degeneracy of the genetic code in two manners: having more than one tRNA (with a specific anti-codon) for a particular amino acid; and 'wobble' base-pairing, i.e. permitting non-standard base-pairing at the 3rd anti-codon position. Lineage: Eukaryota; Metazoa; Chordata; Mammalia; Artiodactyla; Suidae. The record is from Rfam by way of RNAcentral.